RNAcentral lists this ribosomal RNA (250 nucleotides) under uncultured bacterium. RNAcentral describes it as "partial 16S ribosomal RNA". It matches the Rfam family "Bacterial small subunit ribosomal RNA", at positions 524 to 773 of the family's 1533-position model. The record is from RNAcentral.
GACGAACCGAGCGAACGUUGUUCGGAAUCACUGGGCUUAAAGGGCGCGUAGGCGGGCUGUCAAGUUUGGGGUGAAAUCUCACGGCUCAACCGUGGAACUGCCUCAAAUACUGACGGUCUCGAGGGAGAUAGGGGCGAGCGGAACUAAUGGUGGAGCGGUGAAAUGCGUUGAUAUCAUUAGGAACUCCGGUGGCGAAGGCGGCUCGCUGGAUCUCUUCUGACGCUGAGGCGCGAAAGCUAGGGGAGCAAAC